UGCCCCAUGGUGUAACUGGAAGCGCGAGGGACACAAUCCUGUCGGUCCGGGUUCGAUCCCCGGUGGGGCAA
This 71-nucleotide transfer RNA is filed under the name Amycolatopsis dendrobii. RNAcentral describes it as "Amycolatopsis sp. DR6-1 tRNA-Cys". It matches the Rfam family "tRNA". Rfam says of the family: Transfer RNA (tRNA) molecules are approximately 80 nucleotides in length. Lineage: Bacteria; Bacillati; Actinomycetota; Actinomycetes; Pseudonocardiales; Pseudonocardiaceae. The record is from RNAcentral.